This 500-nucleotide ribosomal RNA is filed under the name uncultured bacterium. Its description in RNAcentral is "bacterial SSU rRNA". It matches the Rfam family "Bacterial small subunit ribosomal RNA", at positions 28 to 525 of the family's 1533-position model. The record is from RNAcentral.
GACGAACGCUGGCGGCGUGGAUUAGGCAUGCAAGUCGGACGGUAGAGCUUUAUCGUAAGAUAGAGUUUGAGAGUGGCGAACGGGUGAGUAACACGUAGGAAUCUACCCUUAAGACGGGGACAACCCAGGGAAACUUGGGCUAAUACCGGAUGAGAGUGCGAGAGAUUGCAUUUAAAAGGAUGGCGAAAGUUGUCGCUUAGGGAUGAGCCUGCGGUCUAUUAGUUAGUUGGUGAGGUAAGAGCUCACCAAGGCGAUGAUAGAUAGGCGGCCUUAACGGGUGGUCGCCCACACUGGGAUUGAGAUACGGCCCAGACUCCUACGGGAGGCAGCAGUCGAGAAUAGUCUACAAUGGCCGGAAGGCUGAUAGUGCGACGCCGCGUGAACGAGGGAGCCCUUCGGGUGUAAGUUCUUUAUUAUGUGAGCAGUGCUUCUUAUAUUAACAGUAUGGGAGGAGAGAUAUUAGCAUAUAGAAUAAGCAACGGCGUAACUCCGUCGCCACG